This 349-nucleotide long non-coding RNA is filed under the name Homo sapiens (human). Its description in RNAcentral is "HSALNT0189961". The record is from RNAcentral. Lineage: Eukaryota; Metazoa; Chordata; Mammalia; Primates; Hominidae.
CAAGCACCAGGGUUUGGGGAGAGGUCAAUCAAGGAUGAUGGGUAGAGGCACAGCACAGGGAUGGGGGGCUCUGGGACAGAGGUGGGGGUAUGGUGGGAGCACGGGCACAUCAGAGACACCUACCUCUGCAACCCCGAGAGGACAGUGUGAAAAUGGAGAGAAACAUGAGAUGAGGUGAAAUGGCACAAACUCAAAUACACGACAUGGAGUGGGAUGGGUGAGGAGGGCGGCUCCUGCCCCCACCCUGGGAGGUGGCCACCAGCUCUGGCGCGGCCUGUGGCAGGAGGGCCGCGAGACAAGGGCCAGGCCUGGGAGGGGCUCAUGCGGGGCUGGGUGGGUGGGGACGUAC